RNAcentral lists this ribosomal RNA (135 nucleotides) under uncultured bacterium. RNAcentral describes it as "partial 16S ribosomal RNA". It matches the Rfam family "Bacterial small subunit ribosomal RNA", at positions 356 to 509 of the family's 1533-position model. The record is from RNAcentral.
GGGGAAUAUUGCACAAUGGGCGAAAGCCUGAUGCAGCAACGCCGCGUGAGCGAUGAAGGCCUUCGGGUCGUAAAGCUCUGUCCUCAAGGAAGAUAAUGACGGUACUUGAGGAGGAAGCCCGGCUAACUACGUGCC